RNAcentral lists this ribosomal RNA (497 nucleotides) under uncultured bacterium. RNAcentral describes it as "partial 16S ribosomal RNA". It matches the Rfam family "Bacterial small subunit ribosomal RNA", at positions 28 to 507 of the family's 1533-position model. The record is from RNAcentral.
GACGAACGCUGGCGGCGUGCCUAAUACAUGCAAGUUGAGCGCUGAAGGUUGGUACUUGUCCCGACUGGAUGAGCAGCGAACGGGUGAGUAACGCGUGGGGAAUCUGCCUUUGAGCGGGGGACAACAUUUGGAAACGAAUGCUAAUACCGCAUAAAAACUUUAAACACAAGUUUUAAGUUUGAUAGAUGCAAUUGCAUCACUCAAAGAUGAUCCCGCGUUGUAUUAGCUAGUUGGUGAGGUAAAGGCUCACCAAGGCGAUGAUACAUAGCCAACCUGAGAGGGUGAUCGGCCACAUUGGGACUGAGACACGGCCCAAACUCCUACGGGAGGCAGCAGUAGGGAAUCUUCGGCAAUGGACGAAAGUCUGACCGAGCAACGCCGCGUGAGUGAAGAAGGUUUUCGGAUCGUAAAACUCUGUUGGUAGAGAAGAACGUUGGUGAGAGUGGAAAGCUCAUCAAGUGACGGUAACUACCCAGAAAGGGACGGCUAACUACGUG